UUCGUUAGAUAUGACAAGGUUAGACUCCAAUUCCCUCGUGCCUUUAUUAUCUUAGUUUGUGAUGCAGCAAAUGGGAUAAGCAUUUUUGUUGUUUUCAUCCAUGCUUUUUGCUACUUUCUCAGGAAGUUUUUGGAAUGCCGCGAACCGCCUCCUAUAAAGUGCUUGGCAAUUGAAGGCGACGCGUAAACGCCGAAUACCAGUGAGAGUGGUUAAGGAUGCAAGUAGUGACAUUACUGAAAUUGGAGAGACAAAAAAAUGGGAUAUAUGGAACUGCAGACCCCAUUUUUCAAGAGCAAAGAUAUCAAGUGAAAGAGUGCUCAAAACUGUUUAUGGGCCAUAUAGAGUUUGUUGCAAUCCGUGCUUGUGUUUUUUUAAGAUAAGUUGAUGUUUCUGUGACUGAACAUUCUUUUAGUUACUCUACUGCCAAGCUAAUCUCUGUCAUUGUUCAGAGUCUUCCUUUAAAUUAGAAUAGUUAGAAUAUUUCAUUUAUUUUUUAUCUUUUAUACUGGAUACACUUGCAUUCUUAUCAAAAAUUACAUAUUUAUUCACAUAAAUAUUACAUCAGGUGCUUCAUACAUAUCUCCAGAAUUCUUCUACCUUGUAAUUGUUUUUGUCACCUAAUUGCAGCAAAUACUAGCAUCUCAGAAAACAACUUAAUAAUAUGUAAGAUUGACUCAAAUUGUCACGCAAGGGGCUGUAGCGUCACCUUUGCUUGUACUAUUAACAGGACCCUUUUACAUUACAUUUUGGCAUUAUAUUAAUGUGUCCUUCCUUGUUCAUGAUCUGAGCUUUUAUUUUAUUUUAUUUCAUAUUAGGCUAAGAGGAUGCUCAAAAAUCUUCUUCCAAUAUGUCAUGAUUUUUAAGCACCAUUUACCCCUGCUUUUUAUAAAAGAAAGUUGACUAGUUUAUAUGAAUCUGAUGAAUGUAGAUGAUUCAAUUCUAAGUUUGAUCAAUUUGUGUUUUGUCAGUUUCAGUUUCAGUCACGGCAAUUCAAGAGCCAGCCAAAUGGUCAUGUCUAUGGCUAGAAGGGGCAUGACCAUAGGAGAAGAUGAGGUUGUCACUACUCGCCAACCCCUUCUUCUCAUAUGGCCAUGGGCCCUCCCUGGCCAUGGAUCUGGACCUCCUCUCAUCUUUCUGCUUGAUCAUGAUAAUUGACGUGUGUUUAGCAUGGUCAACAAAGAGGACUUCGAGCGGGUUAAAGCCAGAACUACUAGGCGUGUUAAGAUUGUAUUCAUAUACGUACAAGAAAUUAGAGUGGUUCAACGUACUUUAAUUGUACUGCAUUCAUUUAGCAGUAUACUUUGUAUUGGUUUUGUUUGCAAAAAGUUGGGCACACUCUAAGAUGAUAAUUAUCUUGAAAUUUAAAGCCUCUAAAACUUUAUAA
Molecule: long non-coding RNA, 1384 nt
Organism: Pyrus x bretschneideri (Chinese white pear)
Lineage: Eukaryota; Viridiplantae; Streptophyta; Magnoliopsida; Rosales; Rosaceae
Exons: 3
Source: RefSeq, a predicted model, not a curated record